CCUACGGGCGGCAGCAGUGGGGGAUAUUGCACAAUGGGCGAAAGCCUGAUGCAGCGACGCCGCGUGAGGGAAGACGGUCUUCGGAUUGUAAACCUCUGUCUUUGGGGAAGAAUAGAGACGGUACCCAACGAUGAAGCUCCGGCUAACUACGUGCCAGCAGCCGCGGUAAUACGUAGGGAGCGCGCGUUGUCCGGAAUUACUGGGUGUAAAGGGAUCGUAGGCGGGCUUGUAAGUUGAAUGUCAAGUCCACCGGCUCAACCGGUGAUCGCGUUCAAAACUGCAGGUCUUGAGUUGAGUAGAGGCAGGCGGAAUUCCUAGUGUAGCGGUGAAAUGCGUAGAUAUUAGGAGGAACACCAGUGGCGAAGGCAGCCUGCUGGGCUUUCACUGACGCUGAGGCUCGAAAGCGUGGGGAUCAAACAGGAUUAGAUACCCCUGUAGUC
RNAcentral lists this ribosomal RNA (440 nucleotides) under uncultured bacterium. RNAcentral's name for it is "partial 16S ribosomal RNA". It matches the Rfam family "Bacterial small subunit ribosomal RNA", at positions 338 to 795 of the family's 1533-position model. The record is from RNAcentral.